GACGAACGCUGGCGGCGUGCUUAACACAUGCAAGUCGAGCGGUAAGGCCCUUUCGGGGGUACACGAGCGGCGAACGGGUGAGUAACACGUGGGCGACCUGCCCUUAGCUCUGGGAUAAGCCUGGGAAACUGGGUCUAAUACCGGAUAUGACUCCAUGACGCAUGUUGUGGGGUGGAAAGCCUUGUGCGGCUAGGGAUGGGCCCGCGGCCUAUCAGCUUGUUGGUGGGGUGAUGGCCACCAAGGCGACGACGGGUAGCCGGCCUGAGAGGGCGACCGGCCACACUGGGACUGAGACACGGCCCAGACUCCUACGGGAGGCAGCAGGUGGGGAAUCUUGCGCAAGUGGGCGAAAGCCUGACGCAGCGACGCCGCGUGAGGGAUGACGGCCU
Molecule: ribosomal RNA, 389 nt
Filed under: uncultured bacterium
Lineage: Bacteria
Description: bacterial SSU rRNA
Rfam family: Bacterial small subunit ribosomal RNA
Source: RNAcentral